This is a ribosomal RNA of Apteryx haastii (Great spotted kiwi), 120 nucleotides long. Lineage: Eukaryota; Metazoa; Chordata; Aves; Apterygiformes; Apterygidae. The record is from Ensembl.
UCUGUUAACUAAACUGAGCUCAAAGCACCAGCUCCAGUCAGAUCUUAGAAGCGAGGCAAGUGCCAGGCCCUGUUCAGCACCAGAGUGGGAGACCACUGGGUAAUUUCAGGUGCAGCAGUC